This 251-nucleotide ribosomal RNA is filed under the name uncultured Pasteurellaceae bacterium. RNAcentral's name for it is "partial 16S ribosomal RNA". It matches the Rfam family "Bacterial small subunit ribosomal RNA", at positions 524 to 774 of the family's 1533-position model. The record is from RNAcentral. Lineage: Bacteria; Pseudomonadati; Pseudomonadota; Gammaproteobacteria; Pasteurellales; Pasteurellaceae.
UACGGAGGGUGCGAGCGUUAAUCGGAAUAACUGGGCGUAAAGGGCACGCAGGCGGUUGUUUAAGUGAGAUGUGAAAUCCCCGAGCUUAACUUGGGAACUGCAUCUCAGACUGGGGGUCUAGAGUACUUUAGGGAGGGGUAGAAUUCCACGUGUAGCGGUGAAAUGCGUAGAGAUGUGGAGGAAUACCGAAGGCGAAGGCAGCCCCUUGGGGAUGUACUGACGCUCAUGUGCGAAAGCGUGGGGAGCAAACA